CUCUCACUGAUUACUUGAUGACAGCAAAAG
RNAcentral lists this non-coding RNA (30 nucleotides) under Cricetulus griseus (Chinese hamster). The record is from RNAcentral. Lineage: Eukaryota; Metazoa; Chordata; Mammalia; Rodentia; Cricetidae.